This 420-nucleotide ribosomal RNA is filed under the name uncultured archaeon. Its description in RNAcentral is "partial 16S ribosomal RNA". It matches the Rfam family "Archaeal small subunit ribosomal RNA", at positions 323 to 746 of the family's 1478-position model. The record is from RNAcentral.
CUACGGGCGGCAGCAGUCGAGGAAAUUUUACAAUGCUCGCAAGAGUGAUAAAAUAAACCAGAGUGUUUCUCCUAGAGAAACUUUUGCCUAAUGUAAAAAGUUAGGCGAAUAAGGACUGGGCAAGACCGGUGCCAGCCGCCGCGGUAAUACCGGCGGUCCAAGUCGUAUCCACAUUUAUUGGGUCUAAAACAUUCGUAGCUUGUUUAACAAGUUUCUUGUGAAAUCUGACAUCUCAAGUGUCAGGCGUGCAAGAAAUACUGUUUUACUAGAGACCGGAAGAUGCAAAGAGUAUGAUUAAGGUAGCGGUAAAAUGUGUUAAUCUUAAUCAGACUAACAAUGGCGAAGGCACUUUGCAAGUACGGAUCUGACAGCGAGGAAUGAAGGCCAGGGGCGCAAAAGGGAUUAGAUACCCGUGUAGUC